CCUACGGGUGGCAGCAGUGGGGAAUAUUGCACAAUGGGCGAAAGCCUGAUGCAGCAACGCCGCGUGAGUGAUGCCGGCCUUCUGGUGUUACAUCCUCUUCUUGAGGGACGAAAAUGACGGUACCUGUGGCGGAAGCCACGUCUAACUCCGUGCCAGCAGCCGUGGUAAUACGUAGGUAGCAAGCGUUGUCCGGAUUUACUGGGCGUAAUGGGUUCGUAGGCGGUCUUGUAAGUGAGCUGUGAAAUGCUCGGGCUCAACUUGAGUAGUGCAUUUGCAACUUGAAGGCUAGAGUGCGGGAGAGGAAAAGGGAAUGCCUGGUGUAGCGGUGAAAUGCGUAGAGAUUAGGAAGAACACCGGUGGCGAAGGCGGUUUACUGGACUGUAACUGACGCUGAGGAACGAAAGCGUGGGGAGCAAACAGGAUUAGAUACCCGAGUAGUC
Molecule: ribosomal RNA, 440 nt
Filed under: uncultured bacterium
Lineage: Bacteria
Description: partial 16S ribosomal RNA
Rfam family: Bacterial small subunit ribosomal RNA
Source: RNAcentral